This is a long non-coding RNA of Hyla sarda, 945 nucleotides long. RefSeq lists it as uncharacterized. The record is from RefSeq and is a predicted model, not a curated record. The transcript is spliced from 3 exons. NCBI's taxonomy places the organism in Eukaryota, Metazoa, Chordata, Amphibia, Anura, Hylidae.
AGGAGUGAAAGGGGGCUGGAGCCCCUGCCCUUUUCCUCACCUGCCCCCCUAGUGCCCUCACAAAAGGAGGUGCAGACUCAGGGUGACAGGUGAAGUAAAAAGGAUCCAUUGCUGGGGAGAUUUGUAUGUGGUUUAAUGGAGUAUGCUGUGCCCUCCCUGCAGCAAGGGGGCGCCACUCACCCUGUCAUUAGCUGCCCUUUCUCUGCUUCUCUCCACAGGGAGGAGACAGGAGCAGCGGAGGCAGAGAGAAGCCCCGCCCACAAACUCCAGUCUAUGCAGCCCUUACUUAUAUUAUAGAAUGUAAGCAUAUAUUUGUGUGGUGUCCAUCUCUUCAGUGUAAGAACCAGAGCUGUGUGGAGAUUCCUGCAUAAGGACUUCAACUUCCCAUCUCUCCAGAAUAUUCCUACGAAGAUCUGCAUCUUGCGAAAUAAAUGACUAUUUCCUUAAAAUCGCCCGUUCUUUUAACUAUAGAACAUUUAUAUCUAGAUACAGAAUAACGAUGUCUGUCUAACGCUGCUACUCAUAUCAAAAUCAGAUGGGCAUGCUUCAAUACCGAUCUCUCUAAGGCAACCAGUGCAAAAACAAAACAGUAACAAUAAAAAUUGAGUCAACCUAUACUUAGAAUUUUUGUCUGAGUUGGUCAACCAGCCUCCAUCAGUAGGAUGCAUAACCAGCAGCCAGUAUGCCCUUAUCUGGCCAGAUCUAAAAAAAAAAAUAAAAAAACAUGGUUAUCUCGACCAUGUGGGAGGUUUGAGUGAUCCCAGAGGGACAUCUGUUUAGGUAAAAGAAAGCUAUUUGUACACUACUAUCAUAUGCAUGAUUACUGCUGAGGAUUUAACAUGAAUUUGUAGAGAGGCUACAGAGGUAUAUAAGCAAAACACACACAGCACUGUAAAUUCUGCUACAAGAGGGCCAAUGGAAAAGUAAUCUGUUGCAAGGAAUCAA